UGGGUAAUCCAAGCCUCGGCAGGUACAGUUCCUCCCUCAGGGCCCAGGACACAGUGAGCAUACAAUAGACAUUAGCUGCUGUGGUGUCUUGAUUUCAAGCCCAGUGCAGAUGCAUCUGACUUACGAAACUUCAGUGACACCUGCUCUGUGCCAGACACUGAAGAUGGAGCAGUGAACAGCACUGACCCAGCCUGUCCUCCUGUUGCCUGCAGGCCAGACGGAGUCUCACUCUGUCACCAGGCUGGAGUACAGUGGUGUGAUCUCGGCUCACUGCAACCUCCGCCUCCCAGGUUCAAGCGAUUCUCCUGCCUCAGCCUCUCAAGUAGCUGAGAUUACAGACGUGUGUCACCAUGCCCUGUUAAUUUUUGUUUGUUUGUUUUGUUUUUUGUUUUGUUUUGUUUCGUUUUUUGUUUUUUUUUUUUGAGACGGAGUCUUGCUCUGUCGCCCAGGCUGGAGUGCAGUGGCCCCGAUCUCGGCUCACCGCAAGCUCCGCCUCGCGGGUUCAUGCCAUUCUCCGCCUGGGCAACAUAGUGAGACUCUGUCUCAAAUAAAUAAAUAAAGUGAGGAGAAAAAAAUACCAUCUCUGUCUUCACAGAACUUAUAGUUUGAGAGGGGAGAAUCCCACAAGUAAAUUAUAAAUCUCAGCUGAGAUUAUGCAAAGAA
This 663-nucleotide long non-coding RNA is filed under the name Homo sapiens (human). RNAcentral's name for it is "long intergenic non-protein coding RNA 963". The record is from RNAcentral. Lineage: Eukaryota; Metazoa; Chordata; Mammalia; Primates; Hominidae.